GGCUGGUCUGAAGGUAGUGAGUUAUCUCACUUGAUUGUUUAUUGCCAGUUAUAGAUUGAACUCUUUGUUCUACUACUUUCCCCCUUUCUUACUGCUACACUUGACUAGUCUUAA
RNAcentral lists this Y RNA (114 nucleotides) under Prolemur simus (greater bamboo lemur). Its description in RNAcentral is "Y RNA (ENSPSMG00000017758.1)". It matches the Rfam family "Y RNA". Rfam says of the family: Y RNAs are components of the Ro ribonucleoprotein particle (Ro RNP), in association with Ro60 and La proteins. The Y RNAs and Ro60 and La proteins are well conserved, but the function of the Ro RNP is not known. In humans the RNA component can be one of four small RNAs -- hY1, hY3, hY4 and hY5. The record is from Rfam by way of RNAcentral. Lineage: Eukaryota; Metazoa; Chordata; Mammalia; Primates; Lemuridae.